AUCCUUUUGUAGUUCAUGAGGGUGAUGAUUGGGUGUUCACAUGCAUGUGUGAGAUGUGCCGCUGUUGAACCUUGUUAUGAUGUCAGCACAUUACCCAUCUGACA
Molecule: small nucleolar RNA, 104 nt
Organism: Gorilla gorilla gorilla (western lowland gorilla)
Lineage: Eukaryota; Metazoa; Chordata; Mammalia; Primates; Hominidae
Source: Ensembl